Molecule: long non-coding RNA, 448 nt
Organism: Amphimedon queenslandica
Lineage: Eukaryota; Metazoa; Porifera; Demospongiae; Haplosclerida; Niphatidae
Exons: 3
Source: RefSeq, a predicted model, not a curated record
AAAGGGAAGGAGGAGGCAACAACCUCUACAAUGAAGAAUUAAAAGAGACUCUCUCUAGGAUUAGUUCGUCAGAGGAGAGAGAGCGCUACAUUUUAAUGGAUUUUAUAAAUGCUCCGUCUUUUCCUAAUUUUGUUUUAAAAAAAGGCGAAAAGUCCAUCAAAAAAAUGAGAGUCAUCAGUGAACUGGGAAUAUAUGGUGCUUAUGUAAGAAGAAACAAUGAGGUUUUGCUGAACACUGCACCAGGUCAUUUAUUAAGGAGCAAGCCGUCGGACUGUGAUGAAGGGGGUGUGUCUAUUGGCGUUGCUGCAUUAGAUUCACUGCAUUUAAUGUCUAACAAUGAUUAUUAUAAAGUCCUACAUGACAACAGCUAAUUUAACCAUUUUAUAUCAUUGAAUGUGUCCUUUGAGACACUUUCUUUUCAAUAAUGAUCCUUUCUUCUGAUUUUGAA